This 496-nucleotide ribosomal RNA is filed under the name uncultured bacterium. RNAcentral's name for it is "partial 16S ribosomal RNA". It matches the Rfam family "Bacterial small subunit ribosomal RNA", at positions 28 to 507 of the family's 1533-position model. The record is from RNAcentral.
GAUGAACGCUGGCGGCGUGCCUAAUACAUGCAAGUCGAGCGAACGGACGAGAAGCUUGCUUCUCUGAUGUUAGCGGCGGACGGGUGAGUAACACGUGGAUAACCUACCUAUAAGACUGGGAUAACUUCGGGAAACCGGAGCUAAUACCGGAUGAUAUUUUGAACCGCAUGGUUCAAAAGUGAAAGACGGUCUUGCUGUCACUUAUAGAUGGAUCCGCGCUGCAUUAGCUAGUUGGUAAGGUAACGGCUUACCAAGGCAACGAUGCAUAGCCGACCUGAGAGGGGGUAGGCCACACUGGAACUGAGACACGGUCCAGACUCCUACGGGAGGCAGCAGUAGGGAAUCUUCGGCAGUGGGCGAAAGCCUGACGGAGCAACGCCGCGUGAGUGAUGAAGGUCUUCGGAUCGUAAAACUCUGUUAUUAGGGAAGAACAUAUGUGUAAGUAACUGUGCACAUCUUGACGGUACCUAAUCAGAAAGCCACGGCUAACUACGUG